RNAcentral lists this ribosomal RNA (492 nucleotides) under uncultured bacterium. Its description in RNAcentral is "partial 16S ribosomal RNA". It matches the Rfam family "Bacterial small subunit ribosomal RNA", at positions 29 to 507 of the family's 1533-position model. The record is from RNAcentral.
AGUGAACGCUGGCGGUAGGCCUAACACAUGCAAGUCGAACGGCAGCACAGUAAGAGCUUGCUCUUACGGGUGGCGAGUGGCGGACGGGUGAGGGAUACAUCGGAAUCUACUUUUUCGUGGGGGAUAACGUAGGGAAACUUACGCUAAUACCGCAUACGACCUACGGGUGAAAGCAGGGGAUCUUCGGACCUUGCGCGAUUGAAUGAGCCGAUGUCGGAUUAGCUAGUUGGCGGGGUAAAGGCCCACCAAGGCGACGAUCCGUAGCUGGUCUGAGAGGAUGAUCAGCCACACUGGAACUGAGACACGGUCCAUACUCCUACGGGAGGCAGCAGUGGGGAAUAUUGGACAAUGGGCGCAAGCCUGAUCCAGCCAUACCGCGUGGGUGAAGAAGGCCUUCGGGUUGUAAAGCCCUUUUGUUGGGAAAGAAAAGCAGCAGGUUAAUACCCCGCUGUUCUGACGGUACCCAAAGAAUAAGCACCGGCUAACUUCGUG